RNAcentral lists this ribosomal RNA (870 nucleotides) under uncultured archaeon. RNAcentral describes it as "bacterial SSU rRNA". It matches the Rfam family "Archaeal small subunit ribosomal RNA", at positions 5 to 879 of the family's 1478-position model. The record is from RNAcentral.
CGGUUGAUCCUGCCGGAGACUACCACUAUCAGGAUUCGACUAAGCCAUGCGAGUCAUUGUCAUAAGUGCAAGGCGAACUGCUCAGUAACACGUAGUUAACCUACCCUUAAGUGGAGUAUAACCUCGCGAAAGUGAGGAUAAUACUCCAUAGGUGAAGAGGGCUGGAAAGCCUCUUCACCAAAAGUCGCAAGACGCUUAAGGAUGGGACUGCGGGAGAUUAGCUUGUUGUUAGGAUAAUUGCCUAACAAAGCUAUAAUCUCUACGGGUCGUGAGAGCGAUAGCCCGGAGAUGGCUUCUGAGACAUGAAGCCAGGCUCUACGGAGCGCAGCAGGUACGAAACCUUUCCAAUGCACGAAAGUGUGAGAAGGGAAUCCUGAGUGGGUUCGCAUUAGCGAACUCUUUUCUGGAGUCUAAAUAGCUCCAAGAAUAAGUGGUGGGUAAGACGGUUGCCAGCCGCCGCGGUAAUAACCGCGCCACAAGUGGUAGUCACGUUUAUUGGGCCUAAAGCGUCCGUAGCUGGUUUGAUGAGUCUCUGGUGAAAUCCUAUAGCAAACUAUAGGGCUCGCUAGAGAUACUAUCAGACUUGGAGCCGGGAGAAGUUGAGGGUAUACCACGGGUAGGGGUAAAAUCCUUUAAUCCGUGGUGGACCACCUGUGGCGAAGGCGCUCAACUGGAACGGGCUCGACAGUGAGGGACGAAAGCUUGGGGAGCGACCGGGAUUAGAUACCCCGUUAGUCCAAGCUGUAAACAAUGCCCGCUUGGUGUUACGGAUUCUUCGGGAAUCCGUAGUGCCGUAGCGAAGGUGUUAAGCGGGCCGCCCGGGGAGUAUGCUCGCAAGAGUGAAACUUAAAGGAAUUGGCGGGGGAGCAC